Molecule: unclassified non-coding RNA, 434 nt
Filed under: soil metagenome
Description: partial contains 5.8S ribosomal RNA, internal transcribed spacer 2, and large subunit ribosomal RNA
Rfam family: 5.8S ribosomal RNA (bases 1-120)
Source: RNAcentral
GAUGAAGAACGUAGCGAAAUGCGAUACGUAAUGUGAAUUGCAGAAUUCAGUGAAUCAUCGAAGCUUUGAACGCAUAUUGCGCUCUCUGGUAUUCCGGAGAGCAUGCUUGUUUGAGUAUCAGUAAACACCUCAACUUCCAUAUCUUUUUUGAAAUGGGAGUUGGACUUGAGUGAUCCCAACGCUUUUCCUCACCGAAAAGUGGCGGGUUACUUGAAAUGCAGGUGCAGCUGGACUUUUCUCUGAGCUUAUAAGCAUAUCUAUUUAGUCUGCCUAAAAAACAGAUUAUUACCUUUGCUGCAGCUAACAUAAAGGAGAUUAGUUCUUGUGCUGACUGAUGCAGGAUUCACAAAGACAGGCUUCGGCCGACUUUGUAAACUCGAUCUCAAAUCAAGUAAGACUACCCGCUGAACUUAAGCAUAUCAAUAAGCGGAGGA